UACGGAGGGGACUAGCGUUGUUCGGAAUUACUGGGCGUAAAGCGCACGUAGGCGGAUUUGUAAGUCAGGGGUGAAAUCCCGGGGCUCAACCUCGGAACUGCCUUUGAUACUGCAAAUCUCGAGUCCGGAAGAGGUGAGUGGAAUUCCGUAGUGUAGAGGUGAAAUUCGUAGAUAUUAGGAAGAACACCAGUGGCGAAGGCGGCUCACUGGUCCGGUACUGACGCUGAGGUGCGAAAGCGUGGGGAGCAAACAGGG
This 255-nucleotide ribosomal RNA is filed under the name uncultured bacterium. RNAcentral describes it as "partial 16S ribosomal RNA". It matches the Rfam family "Bacterial small subunit ribosomal RNA", at positions 524 to 777 of the family's 1533-position model. The record is from RNAcentral.